AUUGAACGCUGGCGGCAGGCCUAACACAUGCAAGUCGAACGGUAACAGGAAGCAGCUUGCUGCUUCGCUGACGAGUGGCGGACGGGUGAGUAAUGUCUGGGAAGCUGCCUGAUGGAGGGGGAUAACUACUGGAAACGGUAGCUAAUACCGCAUAAUGUCGCAAGACCAAAGAGGGGGACCUUCGGGCCUCUUGCCAUCGGAUGUGCCCAGAUGGGAUUAGCUUGUUGGUGGGGUAACGGCUCACCAAGGCGACGAGCCCUAGCUGGUCUGAGAGGAUGACCAGCCACACUGGAACUGAGACACGGUCCAGACUCCUACGGGAGGCAGCAGUGGGGAAUAUUGCACAAUGGGCGCAAGCCUGAUGCAGCCAUGCCGCGUGUAUGAAGAAGGCCUUCGGGUUGCAAAGUACUUUCAGCGGGGAGGAAGGGAGUAAAGUUAAUACCUUUGCUCAUUGACGUUACCCGCAGAAGAAGCACCGGCUAACUCCGUG
This 490-nucleotide ribosomal RNA is filed under the name uncultured bacterium. Its description in RNAcentral is "partial 16S ribosomal RNA". It matches the Rfam family "Bacterial small subunit ribosomal RNA", at positions 30 to 507 of the family's 1533-position model. The record is from RNAcentral.